UUUCUCCGCCGGGCGACCGGCGCACGGGUGAGUAACACGUAUGCAACCUGCCCCUGUCAGGGGGACAACCCGCCGAAAGGCGGGCUAAACCCGCGUACAUGCCACCGGGGCAUCCCGGAGGCAGGAAAGGCUUCGGCCGGACAGGGAUGGGCAUGCGGCGCAUUAGGCAGUAGGCGGGGUAACGGCCCACCUAACCGACGAUGCGUAGGGGUUCUGAGAGGAAGGUCCCCCACCACUGGUACUGAGACACGGACCAGACUCCUACGGGAGGCAGCAG
Molecule: ribosomal RNA, 277 nt
Filed under: uncultured bacterium
Lineage: Bacteria
Description: partial 16S ribosomal RNA
Rfam family: Bacterial small subunit ribosomal RNA
Source: RNAcentral